Molecule: ribosomal RNA, 550 nt
Filed under: uncultured Funneliformis
Lineage: Eukaryota; Fungi; Glomeromycota; Glomeromycetes; Glomerales; Glomeraceae
Description: SSU rRNA
Rfam family: Eukaryotic small subunit ribosomal RNA
Source: RNAcentral
UUGGAGGGCAAGUCUGGUGCCAGCAGCCGCGGUAAUUCCAGCUCCAAUAGCGUAUAUUAAAGUUGUUGCAGUUAAAAAGCUCGUAGUUGAAUUUCGGGAUCAAUGUUUCGGUCAUGCCGUUGGUAUGUACUGAUAUUAUUGGUUUCUCACCUUCUAAAGAACCGUAAUGCCAUUAAUUUGGUGUCACGGGGAAUUAGGACUGUUACCUUGAAAAAAUUAGAGUGUUUAAAGCAGGCUCACGCUUGAAUACAUUAGCAUGGAAUAAUGAAAUAGGACAUCCGAUUCUAUUUUGUUGGUUUCUAGGAUCGAUGUAAUGAUUAAUAGGGAUAGUUGGGGGCAUUAGUAUUCAAUUGUCAGAGGUGAAAUUCUUGGAUUUAUUGAAGACUAACUACUGCGAAAGCAUUUGCCAAGGAUGUUUUCAUUAAUCAAGAACGAAAGUUAGGGGAUCGAAGACGAUCAGAUACCGUCGCAGUCUUAACCAUAAACUAUGCCGACUAGGGAUCGGAUGAUGUUAAUUUUUUAAUGACUCAUUCGGCGCCUUACGGGAAAC